This is a non-coding RNA of Pseudonaja textilis, 219 nucleotides long. NCBI's taxonomy places the organism in Eukaryota, Metazoa, Chordata, Lepidosauria, Squamata, Elapidae. The record is from RefSeq and is a predicted model, not a curated record.
UGUCAGCUGCUCCCAUGUUAUUCAUAACUUUCUCAGGAGCAUAAAAUUGUACCAAGACAUGGUAAAACCUGCUGUUCCACUGUACCGGCAUAGGCACAAUGCUGCCAUUGAUACUGUCCUUAUUUAUGGUGUACAGGAUGUUUUAAGGACAAGUAUAGGUGUAUAGUAUCUCUAGCUCUGUUUCCCUCUCUUUUUACAAAAUGUCACUAAUCAGUGGGA